CGUUGGUCCAAGUGCACUGGUGUUUACAACUAAUUGAUCACAACCAGUUACAGCAGAUUCUUCUGUUUCUUCUCCACUCCCACUCCUUCACUUGAUCAGCCUAAA
RNAcentral lists this Y RNA (105 nucleotides) under Prolemur simus (greater bamboo lemur). Its description in RNAcentral is "Y RNA (ENSPSMG00000004839.1)". It matches the Rfam family "Y RNA". From Rfam's summary of the family: Y RNAs are components of the Ro ribonucleoprotein particle (Ro RNP), in association with Ro60 and La proteins. The record is from Rfam by way of RNAcentral. Lineage: Eukaryota; Metazoa; Chordata; Mammalia; Primates; Lemuridae.